GUUCUCCUAGUUAAAUGAUAACAGUGGUUUUUCAAGCCAUCAUCCUUGGUUAAAGUCCUAGGGAGAAUU
Molecule: transfer RNA, 69 nt
Filed under: Assurger anzac (razorback scabbardfish)
Lineage: Eukaryota; Metazoa; Chordata; Actinopteri; Scombriformes; Trichiuridae
Description: tRNA-Glu
Rfam family: tRNA
About the family: Transfer RNA (tRNA) molecules are approximately 80 nucleotides in length. Their secondary structure includes four short double-helical elements and three loops (D, anti-codon, and T loops).
Source: RNAcentral